This is a long non-coding RNA of Sus scrofa (pig), 164 nucleotides long. It matches the Rfam family "Prostate androgen-regulated transcript 1 conserved region 3". The record is from Rfam. NCBI's taxonomy places the organism in Eukaryota, Metazoa, Chordata, Mammalia, Artiodactyla, Suidae.
GUCGUCUCAGUGUCUGAGACAAACAAAAACAGAAAAUAAUUUCUUGCCUCACCUUACCCUCACCUCAGAAGAGAAAAAGUUUUCCCCAGAUUAGAGGAGAACAAAAAUUGAGAGGGGUAUGCUAAAAAUAGGGGAUGCAUGCCACAUCUUGUGGGGAUUCUGGA